RNAcentral lists this ribosomal RNA (253 nucleotides) under uncultured bacterium. RNAcentral describes it as "partial 16S ribosomal RNA". It matches the Rfam family "Bacterial small subunit ribosomal RNA", at positions 524 to 776 of the family's 1533-position model. The record is from RNAcentral.
UACGGAGGGUGCAAGCGUUAUCCGGAUUCACUGGGUUUAAAGGGUGCGUAGGAGGGCAGGUAAGUCAGUGGUGAAAUCUCCAAGCUUAACUUGGAAACUGCCGUUGAUACUAUCUGUCUUGAAUACCGUGGAGGUGAGCGGAAUAUGUCAUGUAGCGGUGAAAUGCUUAGAUAUGACAUAGAACACCAAUUGCGAAGGCAGCUUACUAUGGUGUGAUUGACGCUGAGGCACGAAAGCGUGGGGAUCAAACAGG